This 1054-nucleotide ribosomal RNA is filed under the name Podila verticillata. Its description in RNAcentral is "LSU rRNA". It matches the Rfam family "Eukaryotic large subunit ribosomal RNA", at positions 38 to 955 of the family's 3401-position model. The record is from RNAcentral. Lineage: Eukaryota; Fungi; Mortierellomycota; Mortierellomycetes; Mortierellales; Mortierellaceae.
GCAUAUCAUAGCGGAGGAAAAGAACCUACCAGAAUACCCCUAGUAACGGCGAGUGAAGCGGGAUGAGCUCAAAUUUGAAAUCUGGCUGGUUUACUAGUCCGAGUUGUAAUUUAAAGAAGCGUUUUCGGUGGCAGCCUGGGUAUAAAUCCUUUGGAAUAGGGUAUCAUAGAGGGUGAGAAUCCCGUCUUUGACCUAGUGCAUGCUACUAUGUGAUACGUUUUCAAAGAGUCGAGUUGUUUGGGAAUGCAGCUCAAAAUGGGUGGUAAAUUUCAUCUAAAGCUAAAUAUUGGCGAGAGACCGAUAGCGAACAAGUACCGUGAGGGAAAGAUGAAAAGAACUUUGAAAAGAGAGUUAAACAGUGCGUGAAAUUGUUGAAAGGGAAACGUUUGACACCAGUCAUGUGGGUGGAAAAUCAGUCUUUUGCAUUGGGGAGUUGUAAAGGUUCGGACCGCAAGGCCGGCUUUUGCUUCAUCUUUGGUGUAAGGGAUGCACUUUUUCAUCUGCAGGUCAACAUCAGUUUCUUUUGCUGGACAAAACUCCGAGAGAAGGUAGCAGCUUAGGCUGUGUUAUAGCUCUGGAGCGAUACAGUGAAGGGGACUGAGGUUUUCGCAGCGUGUGCUCUCGGGCAAGGCUGGAUGGGUGCUAUGGGAUCGUUCGGGGUACAAUGCCUGGCAUUUUGCUUCGUGUCUUUUCUAUACUCGCUCAACUCAGCUCUUCCACGCUUAGGAUGUUGACUUAAUGGUUUUAAACGACCCGUCUUGAAACACGGACCAAGGAGUCUAACAUAUAUGCAAGUGUUUGGGUGGCAAACCCAUGCGCGUAAUGAAAGUGAACGUAGGUGCGAUCCGCAAGGUGCAGCAUCGACCGAUCUUGAUAUUUUUGGAUAGAUUUGAGUAAGAGCAUAUAUGCUGGGACCCGAAAGAUGGUGAACUAUGCCUGAAUAGGGUGAAGCCAGAGGAAACUCUGGUGGAGGCUCGUAGCGAUUCUGACGUGCAAUUCGAUCGUCAAUUGGGUAUAGGGCGAAAGACUAAUCGAACCAUCUAGUAGCCUUGAU